This 423-nucleotide ribosomal RNA is filed under the name uncultured bacterium. RNAcentral's name for it is "partial 16S ribosomal RNA". It matches the Rfam family "Bacterial small subunit ribosomal RNA", at positions 359 to 774 of the family's 1533-position model. The record is from RNAcentral.
GAAUAUUGGACAAUGGGCGAAAGCCUGAUCCAGCCAUGCCGCGUGUGUGAAGAAGGUAUUCGGAUUGUAAAGCAAUUUAAGUUGGGAGGAAGGGCAGUAAGCGAAUACAUUGCUGUUUUGACGUUACCGACAGAAUAAGCAACGGCUAACUCUGUGCCAGCAGCCGCGGUAAUACAGAGGGUGCAAGCGUUAAUCGGACUUGCUGGGCGUAAAGCGCGCGUAGGUGGUUCGGUAAGUUGGAUGUGGAAUCCCCGGUCUCAACCUGGGAACUGCAUCCAAAACUGGCGAGCUAGAGUAGGGCAGAGGGUGGUGGAAUUGCCUGUGUAGCGGUGAAAUGCGUAGAUAUAGGAAGGAACACCAGUGGCGAAGGCGACCACCUGGGCUCAUACUGACACUGAGGUGCGAAAGCGUGGGGAGCAAACA